Long non-coding RNA from Hipposideros armiger (great roundleaf bat), 724 nucleotides. RefSeq lists it as uncharacterized. The transcript is spliced from 3 exons. Lineage: Eukaryota; Metazoa; Chordata; Mammalia; Chiroptera; Hipposideridae. The record is from RefSeq and is a predicted model, not a curated record.
CCUGCCUGGAUGCCUGCUGCCACUGCAGUGUCUCUAACAGCAUUUCCUCCGGCGCUCUCAGCACUUCCUAAACCAUGCUCUACAGAGGAGAUUCCUUCCAACUUAAGGACUUCUUUGAACCAAGCAUGAGUUCUCCUUCCAUUAAACAUAAGUAGUACGUAAAACCCAUGUACCAGCAUGGGGAAGGGAUUAAGAAAAUAUGUUGUGUUUGCUUUGUGGAUCCAAAAGUGGACACCUUUAACUCUUUGAUACACCAAGAUUCCAAAUGGUUGGAAGGAAAGGAAAGAUAAACCGGCCUCGUCACUAGCAAGCAGCAGGAAGGCCUUCUUUAUGGUGUGGCUCAACAACCCUCCUGAGGUUGAUGGGAAACUCUUGAAUAUGUUCUACAUGGCGGCUUUUAUUGUCCUCUCCAUAAAGGUAAGCCUGCCUCUACCUGGAAGCUUCCCAGAUGUUUUUGUCCAACACAUUUCAACAUCUCUUUAGAUUUAGAGAUAAGCAAGGGAGAAAAGGUGGAGGAAGAGGAGGUAACUCAUACUGCAUUAUUGGGCCAAUUGUCCAGAGCGAAUCCUCCUGCUGGAGCACCCAUUCUCAGGCAGAGAGUACCAGCAGGGGUCACGUGCACCCAUGGAACCCGACAGUGGUCUUGGACCCUGAGUCCAGCUGGUCCUAGAGACAACCUUGGACUUCUGCCAAGCAAUAUCACUGUAAGGUAUUUAAAAUUGAA